GCUUCAUAGACAGGUCAGCUAAGUCAAUCAACGUCUGUUCAAAUGGCGAAUCAUGAGAGAAUGCCAACAAAAAUGUAAUGACUGACAAGUCUACGCCAGUAGUUUGCAUGGUAUGAGGGUAAUUACAAGAAGUAGAGGAGGGACCAAGCCAGGAUUUGCCAGAAAAGGCAUGCCUCAGGGAUUGAACUGUUGUAACCAAUUAUGAACCUUAGUAAUUGUUCAACUAAACUUUAUUGUAAAUUAGAUAGCUAGGAAUUAUAUCUGAACUACUUUUCAUGGCAAUUCAUCUAAUUAUCUUAGAGUUAAAUUUGACUGGUUAUUUAGUUUUGGUUAUUAAUGAUAAUAUAGUUGGUGGAA
This is a long non-coding RNA of Gossypium arboreum, 357 nucleotides long. RefSeq lists it as uncharacterized. The transcript has 2 exons. The record is from RefSeq and is a predicted model, not a curated record. Lineage: Eukaryota; Viridiplantae; Streptophyta; Magnoliopsida; Malvales; Malvaceae.